Long non-coding RNA from Misgurnus anguillicaudatus (oriental weatherfish), 1904 nucleotides. RefSeq lists it as uncharacterized. Lineage: Eukaryota; Metazoa; Chordata; Actinopteri; Cypriniformes; Cobitidae. The record is from RefSeq and is a predicted model, not a curated record.
AAAAUCUCCAGGGUGGACGUUGUUUUGUGAAGUUUUCUGGAAUGUGUGUUGCUCUUCGUUUAAAAUACAGACAGCUUUGAAACUCAUCCUGAACUGGUUCUUUACCUGAGGGUAGGAGACAGCAGGUUAUGCGUUUAAGGCCCACCUUUCUCAACCCCACCCCUCCCAUCCCAGAAGACUAUAAUGUUAAUGCAGAGGUCAUGGAUACGGCAGGCAAACAUGAAUAUGACUUGAAACGGUUUCAUUUCAAGGUGUCGACGGAAUCCAGAUCUCUCAUUUCCCCAGGAAUAAAGCCCUCGACCCUCCCCGCCGCAUGGCUCUCACUCCAGUAUGACGCUCCUCUGUCCAAGACUUUAUCCAUUAGAUAGAUAAAUCUCUUUUUCUUCUUCUGUCGUGCCAAUGUCCAUUUGCCGUGUCACACGCUUGAAAGUUAUUACUAACCUCAGAACAAGAGCACCGUGCAAUCUACCAAAAAGCAAGAGAGCUUCUUAUCUGUCUGGUUUAUGGCCACGGUGUAAUAGAUCAAUCGAAGAAGUUAACUGGAAAGAAAGGAGCUGCUUUUGGCCUCGUGUAACCCCUAUAAUGCCAACAAUGUCUCUGUCUGCAAAAGUCCAUAAGACAUUGUGCCGUGAUAAACGUGUAUGUGGGUGAGAAAGAUGCAUCUCAGACAUUGUUAUUUAAUUCGAGGUGGUAAGGUGAUAAAUUGAAACCAUGUGUCCAGCUUUCAAGCUAAUUUUAUAUUCAUUUGACAAAAUUGUACAAGUAAAUAAACAGUUUUAUAAUUUUAUGUAUUAAGCGAGUCUAAAAUGGAUAUACUCUUGAAUGAACCUUGCUGAUAAAAAUGGUAAACUCAUAAAUACUAUUAUUUUAAUUCCCUUUAUCUCUCUGGUUUUUAAUUGGUAAAAUGUUAUUUUAUUAAAACAAAACACUGAUUUCUAAAGUUCAGAUCACAGUUCCGAAAAUGAUUGAUUUGUCCUGUGUCAAAGGUGUCCAUGUGUAUCUGCAGCAGAGCGAGUGAUUUCAUCAACAGCUUUAUCAUUUAUCAGAGCAUUGGGGAUAUGAAAUGUGGACCGUGAGCUAUUUAGCAGUUAUUGUACCCUCUUUGAGUCAAUUCUGUAUAGAACGUAUUGAGUUUAUCAAGGGCAUGACAGCUGGCUUACAGUUUGAUUGUAUCCCGUGUGAGAUUGUGAAGGCGACAUGGGCGAUGUCAUUUCUGUGUUGCAAUUCUGUUUACACGCGCAACUCGAUAACACGUUUCACAUAUUACACGCAACAUAGUGCACCAGCUUCAGAUGUCUGGCACACUUUCAGUUAAUGCACCUUCUGCUAUUUCCAACACAUCCUGAAAUCACAGCUUCAGAAUGUAAGGCCGUGCCUGCAUUAUCUGAUACUUCAGAUGAACUAGACUUUCAUUAUUGCUAUUAUUGCCCUACUCUUACUGCAAUGAUUUAUAGCACUUAUCAGGAAAAGAGGUAAUUAGAACGUUAGCAUUUCUAUAGCGCCGGGCCAUCGAGACAAUUGUUACAUUUAAGUCUUAGCUGACUUGAAUUUGAUGUUAUUCAUCUUUGAAAUGGGUCAUGGUUUUAGUCAAAUCGGCUCUAUUGAAAAUCCAUUGAACAGAAGAUGAAUAACAGAAUAGAAAAGGCACAUGAACUUUUUACAUUUAGGGCCAGAUUUACUAACAGCUUGCGCCAGCACCUCUUUUGCAGUUAAAAUUCCUUGUUGCACUUUAAUUUUUACAUUUGUUUAAUUUAAAAUUACAACUUACUUGACUAGUAAGGAAUUGCUAUAAAUAUAAAUAUAAAGUUGAAAUAACUUAAGCUAAUUAAAUUUAUUUUUAAAAUUGAUAAAUUUAAGUUGAAUAAACCUAAAACCUAGAUUUUUUUACAGUCUGCUGUCAGCAU